RNAcentral lists this ribosomal RNA (372 nucleotides) under uncultured prokaryote. Its description in RNAcentral is "bacterial SSU rRNA". It matches the Rfam family "Bacterial small subunit ribosomal RNA", at positions 524 to 896 of the family's 1533-position model. The record is from RNAcentral.
UACGUAGGGUGCGAGCGUUAAUCGGAAUUACUGGGCGUAAAGCGUGCGCAGGCGGUUUCGCAAGUCAGAUGUGAAAGCCCCGGGCUUAACCUGGGAACUGCGUUUGAAACUACGAAGCUAGAGUACGGCAGAGGGAGGUGGAAUUCCAAGUGUAGCAGUGAAAUGCGUAGAUAUUUGGAGGAACACCGAUGGCGAAGGCAGCCUCCUGGGCUAGUACUGACGCUCAUGCACGAAAGCGUGGGGAGCAAACAGGAUUAGAUACCCUGGUAGUCCACGCCCUAAACGAUGGCAACUAGUUGUUGGGGAUUAACAUCCUUAGUAACGCAGCUAACGCGUGAAGUUGCCCGCCUGGGGAGUACGGUCGCAAGAUUA